RNAcentral lists this small RNA (516 nucleotides) under Cryptococcus neoformans H99. RNAcentral's name for it is "Cryptococcus neoformans var. grubii H99 hypothetical RNA". Lineage: Eukaryota; Fungi; Basidiomycota; Tremellomycetes; Tremellales; Cryptococcaceae. The record is from RNAcentral.
CAUGGCUGGUAUCUACAUGUCCCUCACAUGUGACUUCAAUUCAUAUCUUACACACCUAAAAUAGCAGAGGCCAAGUUGUGGACGCGCAAACAUCAACUUAUUACCGGAAAAAAGAAUGACGAACGAGAGUGCUAAACGCCAGAUGUCUAUCCGUCUCAAAAUCAUCUGACGCUCCAUAUGAAAGAUUUGAAUGCUACGUAUGUUUGAGAGUAGCAACAGUUCAUCUAAUCUCGCUUCUCCAGCAUCCAGCAGCAUACACAGAUGUUUCGGCGUAGCCUCGAACAGCUACUGCAGAAUGACAGUUAAUCAGAAGCAAAGGGGAGUUCUCUGCCUACCACCAACCAAUCGUCAUAUAGGUAAAAUAGGCAAUUAUGGAUAAUUGUUUUUAGGAUAACCGGGAGUUCUAGUUAAUAAUGCGCAGAACCGACGAGAGAGAUAGGAAAAAAGGUACAUCAUAAUAAGAUCGGAUAGAUAGACUUUUAGUUACCCAUCGCAUGCCAUCUAUUAUUAUUCUUC